RNAcentral lists this ribosomal RNA (274 nucleotides) under uncultured bacterium. Its description in RNAcentral is "partial 16S ribosomal RNA". It matches the Rfam family "Bacterial small subunit ribosomal RNA", at positions 523 to 796 of the family's 1533-position model. The record is from RNAcentral.
AUACGGAGGGGGCUAGCGUUGUUCGGAAUUACUGGGCGUAAAGCGCGCGUAGGCGGACCUGUAAGUCGGGGGUGAAAGCCCGAGGCUCAACCUCGGAACUGCCUUCGAUACUACAGGUAUUGAGUCCGAGAGAGGUGAGUGGAAUUCCUAGUGUAGAGGUGAAAUUCGUAGAUAUUAGGAAGAACACCAGUGGCGAAGGCGGCUCACUGGCUCGGUACUGACGCUGAGGUGCGAAAGCGUGGGGAGCAAACAGGAUUAGAUACCCCAGUAGUCC